This 300-nucleotide ribosomal RNA is filed under the name uncultured Bacillus sp. RNAcentral's name for it is "partial 16S ribosomal RNA". It matches the Rfam family "Bacterial small subunit ribosomal RNA", at positions 495 to 794 of the family's 1533-position model. The record is from RNAcentral. Lineage: Bacteria; Bacillati; Bacillota; Bacilli; Caryophanales; Bacillaceae.
GGGAAACUGGGGGCCGGAAGCCCGGUUAUAACGAGGGGGGGUAGUGUGGCUGGGAAGAAAUGGGGGUAAAGCGGACGGAGGCGGAGUCGUAAGUGGGGGGUGAAAGCCUGGAGCUCAAAUCCAGAACUGCCUCCGAUACUGAGAGUCUCGAGGCCGGGAGAGGUGAGUGGAACUGCGAGUGUAGAGGUGAAAUUCGUAGAUAUUCGCAAGAACACCAGUGGCGAAGGCGGCUCACUGGCCCGGUACUGACGCUGAGGUGCGAAAGCGUGGGGAGCAAACAGGAUUAGAUACCCGUGUAGC